Long non-coding RNA from Carcharodon carcharias (great white shark), 815 nucleotides. RefSeq lists it as uncharacterized. The record is from RefSeq and is a predicted model, not a curated record. NCBI's taxonomy places the organism in Eukaryota, Metazoa, Chordata, Chondrichthyes, Lamniformes, Lamnidae. The transcript has 3 exons.
CCUUCGUCAGGUGGGGGUGGUGGGCCAGCCCAGGAGCAGCCACAAAACACCCUUGUCCCCAAGGAUGGGAGGAGGAGGCCACCGCAUCUCACCACGAAAGCACGGGAGGAGGUGGCAGCGCUGCUCAGCAACCGUGAUGUAAUACGGCGCUCCUGGGCGCUCAAUGACCUGCUGCACAUAGGAAGGGAGAAGACUGCCCACAACAAUAUAGAAAGGUCGCAGGCUGGCGGAGGCCCCGCUAGCCUCCUAUUCCUUUUGAGGCAUGAGCAAGAUGCCCUAGAGCCUCCCAACGUGCAGCUGAAUGUGGAGAGGCUAGGGUGCCAGACGAAGGUUUGCCAGCAGGUGUUCGAUCGCUGGAGCCCAAAGGGCCACCCCUGACACCAGAGGACCACUGGGCAUCAUUUGCACCUGUGUCAUACCCGCACUCUGAGACAAGCACCAGCACAGGGACCAGCACCUCACUGGGCAUUAGAAUGGUGGCUAGUAUAUCGGUGCACAUUGGUGAGGGCACUUCACUAUCGCUUGAGGUGCAGGUGGAAGCAAUGUGUGCUCAGAGUGACUGCAGUCGGAGGACUGCUGAAGACCAGGAUGAUGCUCAGACAAAGGCUGAUCUUGAGCCUCUGGUGUCGUCCAUUAGGCGGCAGAUACUGGAUGUCUAGCAAGAUGUGUGGGAGGGUCUAGUGGAGAUCAAUGAGGGUCUGUGUGCCAUGGUCUCCAUGAUGGAGGAGUCCAUGUGGAGCGUGAGCACUGCGUUGACUGUCAUGGCUGAGCGCACUGCCUCCUCUAUUUAGAGAAUGAUGAUUCAUGGAGAAGCA